CAGUGCAGUACUGCAGCUUUCUGUGUGCUCAGAUGGCUCAGCUAACUCAAACUCUCUAUUUGCUAACCCAGGGUAUUGUAACAGAGGGUCAGCUUAAAUAUGGUUUUUGCUUGUUUGUUUGGUUGUUUUCGGCUGGUUUGUGCAGAAGAUGUGGGGAAGGUACCUCCAGCAGGAAUCGUGGAUGCAAGCCAGUGCUGUAGGCUUUCCUUGCCUGGUGCAGAGCAGUGCCUCAAGUCAAGGGACACUUGAGAGAGCACCAAGGUCCGGAUGCUGGACAGGACUGAUGAGACCAUGGCAAAUCCUGUUGGCUUGGCUGCUUGACUGCUGCAUCUCCAUCUUCCAAUCACCUGAAGUUAAGAGAUCUUCCCUGCUUGGUUUUAUCUUCAGCAGAAUGGCAGGGGUCUCAAUGCAAUAUUUCAACUUUCUGGUAGCUUGAAACUUAAUUUAAUGUAUGGUGCCAUCCAAGAUUUUCUUGAUCUUUUUUUUUUUUUUGGCCACAGUAGAGGGCUUGUGUAUCAGUUGCUUCAAGAUAUUUCCCUUUUUUCCACACAUCUUCCUUUUAACUUCUUAUAAGACAGAAAUGAUUUAGUUCAAGUUUUUGGUUGUAACGAAAAUCUUAGCAUGGUCGGAGAUGACUAGAGCACACAGCAAAUCAAAUCAAAAUCUCUUCUGGAGAUAUUUUCAGUGGAAGUGUUCACAUACAAGCAAUCAGGCUGUACACAGAUCUUUUUUUUUUUUUUUUUUUUUUUGCCAGUGCAAGCAGGUAAGAAUAGGCUUACUGGUGAUGCUUUUUUUGUAGGCUGGAGACUCUGCUGGAGAGAGGACUGGCCCACUGUAAACACGUUUGCAUACACUUCAGCAAGCCCAGCACAUUGAAGAGAAUGCAGCUGAAGGUCCUGCUGUACGAAGAAAUAUUUUCUUCUGUUAUCUUCAGCCUAUCCCUUGUCUUAGUCAAUGCUCCUCAGGCUCACAUACUUACUGAAAGACAUGGUAAAAAAGAUUAUCAAGUCUGGAAAGAAAAAAACAUCAACUAUUCAAGAAGUUUAAACAUAAAAGAAUUGUUAACAUUUUGUUCUAUUGAAUUUUUGAUAACAGUAUCGUUUUCAUCAACAUUCCCAGAAGCACGAACACAAAAAUUUUCCAAAAUUCACUGAGAUCUCUUCUACUAUGCUCAGACAUCUGGGCUGUCUGGCUGACAGUCGGUGCCUGCAGAACAUUAAUGCUGGCAGCCUGCAGGUGGGCAGCUUGCCUGUGGCUUGGUUCCUUCCCCCCUUCUUCAUCACAUCUCCUGCUGAAAUGCACUUCUUGCAAAGGGAAUAUAAGGUACAGGAAGGUAGAUUACAUUUUGGACUGAAGUUAAUUUAUGAUGUGAAAUGAACUCCUAUGGACUGCACAAUUUUGAAAAGCUUUAAC
Molecule: long non-coding RNA, 1413 nt
Filed under: Phasianus colchicus (ring-necked pheasant)
Lineage: Eukaryota; Metazoa; Chordata; Aves; Galliformes; Phasianidae
Description: lncRNA (ENSPCLG00000016182.1)
Source: RNAcentral